AUCUCAGAAUAAAUGGAGAGAGUGGAGAGGGUCUCUAUCCAAGGGAUUGGGACCGGGUGACUGGGAGGGCAUCAGACACUUCUCUGAGGUGUGCAUGUGGCCUUCACUCAUGGGAGGGCAUCAGACACUUCUCUGAGGUGUGCAUGGGGCCUCCACUCAUGGGAGGGCAUCAGACACUUCUCUGAGGUGUGUGUGUGGCCUCGACUCACGGGAGGGCAUCAGACACUUCUCUGAGGUGUGUGUGUGGCCUCCACUCAUGGGAGGGCAUCAGACGCUUCUCUGAGGUGUGCAUGUGGCCUCCACUCAUCUCACUUCAGUCUCUCGGUGGACCACUCUCCCCAAGUUGACCCCGU
Oncorhynchus tshawytscha (Chinook salmon) is the source of this 353-nucleotide long non-coding RNA. NCBI's taxonomy places the organism in Eukaryota, Metazoa, Chordata, Actinopteri, Salmoniformes, Salmonidae. The record is from Ensembl.